This 730-nucleotide ribosomal RNA is filed under the name uncultured bacterium. RNAcentral's name for it is "bacterial SSU rRNA". It matches the Rfam family "Bacterial small subunit ribosomal RNA", at positions 65 to 792 of the family's 1533-position model. The record is from RNAcentral.
AGCGAGAGUUUGUGGAAUGCGGACUUCGGUCCAAGUGAAAUGAAGGAAAGCGGCGGACGGGUGAGUAACGCGUGGGCAACCUGCCCCAUACAAAGGGAUAGCCACUGGAAACGGUGAUUAAUACCAUAUGAAGCUUUAAGGUCGCAUGACCUGAAAGUUAAAGAUUUAUCGGUAUGGGAUGGGCCCGCGUCUGAUUAGCUAGUUGGUGAGGUAACGGCUCACCAAGGCGACGAUCAGUAGCCGACCUGAGAGGGUGAUCGGCCACACUGGAACUGAGACACGGUCCAGACUCCUACGGGAGGCAGCAGUGGGGAAUAUUGCACAAUGGGCGCAAGCCUGAUGCAGCAACGCCGUGUGAGUGAAGAAGGCCUUCGGGUCGUAAAACUCUGUCCUAUGGGAAGAAACAAAUGACGGUACCAUGGGAGGAAGCCCCGGCUAACUACGUGCCAGCAGCCGCGGUAAUACGUAGGGGGCGAGCGUUAUCCGGAAUCACUGGGCGUAAAGGGUGCGUAGGCGGCUAAGCAAGCCAGGGGUGAAAGGCAUUGGCUCAACCAAUGUAAGCCUUUGGAACUGUUUGGCUUGAGUGCAGGAGAGGUAAGUGGAAUUCCUAGUGUAGAGGUGAAAUUCGUAGAUAUUAGGAGGAACACCAGUGGCGAAGGCGACUUACUGGACUGUAACUGACGCUGAGGCACGAAAGCGUGGGGAGCGAACAGGAUUAGAUACCCUGGUA